Molecule: long non-coding RNA, 2692 nt
Filed under: Sus scrofa (pig)
Lineage: Eukaryota; Metazoa; Chordata; Mammalia; Artiodactyla; Suidae
Description: lncRNA (ENSSSCG00000044577.2)
Source: RNAcentral
AGGAGGCCCGCCGUCCGCCAGAGGAGCUGCAGGAGCGCCGGAGCGAGCGCGGGCUCGCAGAGAGGGGCCCGGCGGAAAAGCAGCAGGGCAGCCGCGAGAUGGAAAAAUCAAUUAUUCUCCUGCUCUGGGUGCAAUCUGCUGUUAAGAUCUCAAAAAGUUUCCAUUAUAUACCUAUGAAUAAACAAAAAACAGUAAUUUUUAUUGAAUGGGAUGAAUUUCCUCAGGGAGGAAGUCCUGAAUUUUAUUUUGUAAAAUACCAACUUGUUAAUAACUUUGCGCAAAAAAAUGUCAAAAGGAUUCUUGCAGACCCACCAGAGCUUCCAAAAGCAUUAAUGACACUAGACGAAAAUGAAGACUACCACAUCAGUAUACAGUCCAUCAAAUAUGGACAAGUGUUAAGUGAAAAGUCAUUUCAGACGCGUGGAAUAUCAGCUAGAAAUAUUAAGACACUAGCAACAAGUACAAGCGUUUCUUUUAACUGGAGUGUGCUGUCUUCCAAUGACAGUUUAGUGUCAAUAUCACUUAAUAAUUCUUCACAAAUUGUGCAAAAUAAUGUCAUGUUUUAUGAGUGGGCUGAUUUGAAACCUGCCACCUUAUAUGUUUUUACAUUUGAAUUUAAACAGUUGCAUUUGGAUUUUAUAAAUAUAUUUCAGAGACUGGAUGUUCAGAUUGAAACAGGUUCGUGUUCACAAGGAUGGGUGGCAUUAAAAAAUAACUGUUAUAGAAUUAGCAAAGAGCAUAAGCCAUGGAAUGUAGCCCAGCAACAUUGUAAGUUAUCCUUAAAUUCUGCACACCUUGUGGAUAUAAAAAAUGAAGAGGAGAAAAAUUUCAUAUGUUCACAUCUCAGGUCAAAGAAUCAAAUAAUGGUAUGGACUGGUCUUAGCAAUUUGAAGGUUAGUAAAUGAAAAGAAAGACGUUGACAGAUGGAUCAUCCUUUGGCCUUAAGAAAAACAGCAUCUUUUCUUUUCCACUGCUACCGAAGAAUGAAACAGAUUGCUACAUUUUACAGCAAAAUGCAACUGGAUCCAACUAUUUUUUUACAAGAUUUUUCUGUUAUAUUCCCUUGCCAUAUAUUUGUGAAUAUGAAUUACCUUUUCUCCAGGAAAACAUUUCCUUCUAUGUAAAGGAGGUUGGAACAACUCAAGUUGUAUUUAGUUGGAAUAAUUUGAGUGGUUGGAAUAAGUUGAAUAAGUGGCUGAACCUGGGAUAUAAAAUCAUCAUUAAAUAUUAUUUAGAUUAUACAGAAGGACAACAUUUUGAAAGCAUCCCCCCAAAUACCACAGAAAAAGCAAUUACCCAUCUGUCUCCCGGCCAUGUUUACAGAUUUUCAUUGUUUGCAAUAAAUGAAUGGGAGGCAAAAACUACUUUAAGUCCAAUAUUCAUUGUCGAAACACGCCCAUUAUCAGCCAAAAAUGUCACAAUUACGCAUGUGACCCCAACAGAAAUAUUUUUGCACUGGGAGGCUCCAGAUCCAGUGUCUUUUCACCAUUAUUUGGUGACUAUUUUGGAUGUUGAAAACAAUGAAACGGAGGAGGUGUUUAUUGAAAAGCUCAACACUUCAACAACAAUUGGAAAUCUCACAUCUUUCCAUCAUUAUCUGAUACAUCUAUUCACGGUAGCAGAAAGGGGAACUUUAAGCGGCUUCAAGAAACCUAUUUCAGUGGUUACAGGUAUUAAUCCACCUCAGAUCAUUUAUGUGAAACUUGAAGAUGUGAGAGAGGACAGUGUAAAUCUUCAGCGGGAACUCCCACCAGACAGCCAUGGGGUCUACAUUCAAAUCACAUCCGCAUCAGAUACAAGAGGAGUCAGGAAGCUUUUUGUAAAGGAUGCUAAUAGAGUCAAGGCUGAUAAUUUAAGCCCUGGGAUGAUAUAUGACAUUGGACUGGGAACAGUGGUGAAUGGGAACUUGAGCACGCUGGUAACUCUUCAACAAACUCUAAGUGAGAAUCAAAUUCUUUUCAUUCUUAACAGAUACUUUCUGAUUGGGGGCUAUGUAAAAUAGUCCCUGAUGCGCUCUUCUGGUAGCAGAUUUUACCUUUUUAAAUAGAUUGUUGGUGUGCCUCAGGAUCUGAAUUUUUUUUUUUUCUUUUUGCUUCCAUAUACCCUUGGCGUAUGGAAGUUCCCAGGCUGGGGGCCAAAUCAGAGCUACAGCUGCCGGCCUGUGCCACAGCCUCAGCAAUGUGGGAUCUGAGCCAUGUCUGCGACCUACACUACCUCUCACGCUAACACCAGAUUCCUGACCCACUGAGCAAGGACAGGGAUCGAACCCACAUCCUCACAGAUAAUAGUUGGAUUCAUUUGCACUGCGCCACAGUGGGAACUGAAGGAUCUGAAAUAUUUUGCCCCUGGUAUCCUGAGAGUGUCCUUUGCUUGUAUAAAGGCAGCAUUAUUUAUGAUUAAGAACUUGAUCCUAAAGCUAUACUACCUAGGUUUGAAUCUGGGUUUAACUAUCUGAUUAACCCUGGGCCAUGUACUCAACCUAUUUAAGCUUCAGUUUCCAAAUUUGUAAAGUGAGAGAAGGUAAUAGUGUGGGUUUCAUGGGUUGUCCUGAGAAUAACUGAUUUAAUAAGUAUAGGGACUUAGAACAGUGCCUUAAUAAAGCUCUAUAAAUGUUUACAAUUAUUUUAUCCACACGGGCAUGCUGUAGCACGUUGGCAAGAAAUAUUGACAGUGUAUUAAAAAGUUCAGGACC